Molecule: ribosomal RNA, 405 nt
Filed under: uncultured Eubacteriales bacterium
Lineage: Bacteria; Bacillati; Bacillota; Clostridia; Eubacteriales
Description: uncultured Clostridiales bacterium partial 16S ribosomal RNA
Rfam family: Bacterial small subunit ribosomal RNA
Source: RNAcentral
UGGGGAAUAUUGGGCAAUGGGCGCAAGCCUGACCCAGCAACGCCGCGUGAGGGAAGAAGGUUUUCGGAUUGUAAACCUCUGUCGCAGGGGACGAAAAAAAUGACGGUACCCUGCAAGAAAGCCCCGGCUAACUACGUGCCAGCAGCCGCGGUAAUACGUAGGGGGCAAGCGUUGUCCGGAAUUAUUGGGCGUAAAGGGAGCGUAGGCGGCUGCUUAAGUCAGAUGUGAAAUACCAGGGCUCAACCCUGGGGCUGCAUUUGAUACUGGGCAGCUAGAGUGUAGGAGAGGUAAGUGGAAUUCCUAGUGUAGCGGUGAAAUGCGUAGAUAUUAGGAGGAACACCAGUGGCGAAGGCGACUUACUGGACUAUAACUGACGCUGAGGCUCGAAAGCGUGGGGAGCAAACA